GCAAGAAGACACCACACAGCUUUUGUGGGCAGGGAAGGCGCUCAUGAAGAGUAAAAGAUUAUGUGAUUAUGUUGGUGACAAUGAGAGAACUAAGAUCAUACUCAGAUUGCAGCCAUCUUGCAUGAGCUCUGCAUGAUGCUUGUAACCAUGAAGGCAGGUGAGCUGAAAGAGCAAAACCACUCAAUUACAGUUGCACGUCUCUUGGCAGUUGGCUUCCUAACUAAGAUGAUGGUCAUC
Long non-coding RNA from Telopea speciosissima, 237 nucleotides. RefSeq lists it as uncharacterized. The transcript is spliced from 3 exons. Lineage: Eukaryota; Viridiplantae; Streptophyta; Magnoliopsida; Proteales; Proteaceae. The record is from RefSeq and is a predicted model, not a curated record.